GGGGUUGUGGCUCAGAGGUAGAGUGCUCGCCUAGCAUGUGUGAGGCACUGGGUUUGAUCCUCAGCAACACCU
RNAcentral lists this transfer RNA (72 nucleotides) under Marmota monax (woodchuck). It matches the Rfam family "tRNA". From Rfam's summary of the family: Transfer RNA (tRNA) molecules are approximately 80 nucleotides in length. Their secondary structure includes four short double-helical elements and three loops (D, anti-codon, and T loops). Further hydrogen bonds mediate the characteristic L-shaped molecular structure. tRNAs have two regions of fundamental functional importance: the anti-codon, which is responsible for specific mRNA codon recognition, and the 3' end, to which the tRNAs corresponding amino acid is attached (by aminoacyl-tRNA synthetases). tRNAs cope with the degeneracy of the genetic code in two manners: having more than one tRNA (with a specific anti-codon) for a particular amino acid; and 'wobble' base-pairing, i.e. permitting non-standard base-pairing at the 3rd anti-codon position. Lineage: Eukaryota; Metazoa; Chordata; Mammalia; Rodentia; Sciuridae. The record is from Rfam by way of RNAcentral.